UGGGGAAUCUUGGACAAUGGGGGCAACCCUGAUCCAGCCAUGCCGCGUGAGCGAUGAAGGCCUUAGGGUUGUAAAGCUCUUUCACCGGUGAAGAUAAUGACGGUAGCCGGAGAAGAAGCCCCGGCUAACUCCGUGCCAGCAGCCGCGGUAAUACGGAGGAUGCAAGCGUUAUCCGGAAUUAUUGGGCGUAAAGCGUCCGCAGGUGGCACUUCAAGUCUGCUGUCAAAGACCAGAGCUCAACUCUGGGCAGGCGGUGGAAACUGGGGAGCUAGAGUACGGUAGGGGUAGAGGGAAUUUCCAGUGUAGCGGUGAAAUGCGUAGAGAUUGGAAAGAACACCAGUGGCGAAGGCGCUCUACUGGACCUGUACUGACACUAAGGGACGAAAGCUAGGGGAGCGAAAGGGAUUAGAUACCCCCGUAGUCC
RNAcentral lists this ribosomal RNA (424 nucleotides) under uncultured prokaryote. RNAcentral's name for it is "bacterial SSU rRNA". It matches the Rfam family "Bacterial small subunit ribosomal RNA", at positions 355 to 796 of the family's 1533-position model. The record is from RNAcentral.